Molecule: long non-coding RNA, 511 nt
Filed under: Equus asinus (donkey)
Lineage: Eukaryota; Metazoa; Chordata; Mammalia; Perissodactyla; Equidae
Description: lncRNA (ENSEASG00005024088.1)
Source: RNAcentral
GCCUGACCUGUGAGCCAGCCUGUGGAAGGAGGAGCAGAUGGGAAUCACUGCCCUUGGGAUGUGCUCUGGGAUCCCCCAUCUAGGUAUCUCCCAUGACCCCUGGCGGCCUCGCUGCCUGUUUCUCACCGAAGUCAGUCGAAGGAGCUGCAGCCUUCUUGCUGCCAUCACAAUGCAUGGAGCUCUCCCCCAGGAGGGAAGCAACGUCUUCUCCGAAGGUCAGUCGAAGGAUCUGCAGCCUUCUCGCUGCCAUCACAAUGCAUGGAGCUCUCCCCCAGGAGGGAAGCAAUGUCUUCUCCGAAGUCAGUCGAAGGAUCUGCAGCCUUCUCGCUGCCAUCACAAUGCAUGGAGCUCUCCCCCAGGAGGGAAGCAAUGUCUUCUCCGAAGUCAGUCGAAGGAUCUGCAGCCUUCUCGCUGCCAUCACAAUGCAUGGAGCUCUCCCCCAGGAGGGAAGCAAUGUCUUCUCCAAAGAUCUGGAGGCAAUUCUCAAUCAAAAAUUGCACAAGAGAAAUCU